AUUGUUCAGAUAGCCAUGCACGUCUAGUACAAACUAAAUGAUGGUGAAACUGCAAAUGGCUCAUUACAACGGUUAUGAUGUACCCGGGAGUUCCGAUGGAUAUUUCCAGUAACACUAGAACUAAUACAUGUCCCUGCGUUUAUUAGUUUCGCACAGUCCGUCGCUGAGUCAUGGUAAACAGUUGAUCGACUCGACGUCCCGGAACAGUUUCCGCCCCAUCAGCUUCGAUGGUUGGGUAUUGGCCUACCAUUGCAACAACGGGUAACGAGGAAUUAGGGUUUGAUUUCGGAGAGGGAGCCUGAGAAACGGCUACCACAUCUACGGAUGGCAGCAGGCGCGCAAAUUACCCAAUGCAGACACUGUGAGGUAGUGACGAGAAAUAAUAAAGCGGGACUUCUGUUUCGCUAUUAUAAUGAGGAAUAACCAAAGGUCAUUCCGAUUAGCAACUGAUGGGAAAGUCUGGUGCCAGCAGCCGCGGUAAUACCAGCGUCAGUAGCAUA
This 500-nucleotide ribosomal RNA is filed under the name uncultured Myrionecta. RNAcentral describes it as "SSU rRNA". It matches the Rfam family "Eukaryotic small subunit ribosomal RNA", at positions 34 to 601 of the family's 1831-position model. The record is from RNAcentral. Lineage: Eukaryota; Ciliophora; Litostomatea; Cyclotrichida; Mesodiniidae.